This 284-nucleotide ribosomal RNA is filed under the name Undinella oblonga. RNAcentral's name for it is "partial 16S rRNA". Lineage: Eukaryota; Metazoa; Arthropoda; Copepoda; Calanoida; Tharybidae. The record is from RNAcentral.
AAUUAGCUCUUUAAUUGGGAGAUAGUAUGAAAGGUUUCAUUAAAAAAAUAUUUUUUAUAUAAAAUUAAAAAUUUUAAUUUAGGUGAAAAUACCUAAAUAUUUUUAUUAGACAAAAAGACCCUAUGAAGCUUCUAGUGAAUAUAAUUAUUAAACUAUUUCUUUGGGGUAAAGAUUAAAAUUAUUAUUAAUAAAAAUUAAUAUAAAAAGAGCCUUCCGGAAAAAUAAUAAAGCUCCUCUAGGGAUAACAGCAUUAUACUUAAAAAAGUUCUUAUUAGAAUAAGUGU